UUUGUUAUUGGUAUGAGCUUUUCAUGUGCAUGCACACUUGGUAUCUGUGUGCAUGCACAUGAAAGCUCAUACCAAGAACAAA
Non-coding RNA from Podarcis lilfordi (Lilford's wall lizard), 82 nucleotides. The record is from the annotation of a GenBank genome assembly. Lineage: Eukaryota; Metazoa; Chordata; Lepidosauria; Squamata; Lacertidae.